This 1976-nucleotide ribosomal RNA is filed under the name Escherichia coli. RNAcentral's name for it is "partial 23S ribosomal RNA". It matches the Rfam family "Bacterial large subunit ribosomal RNA", at positions 296 to 2265 of the family's 2925-position model. Lineage: Bacteria; Pseudomonadati; Pseudomonadota; Gammaproteobacteria; Enterobacterales; Enterobacteriaceae. The record is from RNAcentral.
AGCCCAGAGCCUGAAUCAGUGUGUGUGUUAGUGGAAGCGUCUGGAAAGGCGCGCGAUACAGGGUGACAGCCCCGUACACAAAAAUGCACAUGCUGUGAGCUCGAUGAGUAGGGCGGGACACGUGGUAUCCUGUCUGAAUAUGGGGGGACCAUCCUCCAAGGCUAAAUACUCCUGACUGACCGAUAGUGAACCAGUACCGUGAGGGAAAGGCGAAAAGAACCCCGGCGAGGGGAGUGAAAAAGAACCUGAAACCGUGUACGUACAAGCAGUGGGAGCACAGAGCAAUCUGUGUGACUGCGUACCUUUUGUAUAAUGGGUCAGCGACUUAUAUUCUGUAGCAAGGUUAACCGAAUAGGGGAGCCGAAGGGAAACCGAGUCUUAACUGGGCGUUAAGUUGCAGGGUAUAGACCCGAAACCCGGUGAUCUAGCCAUGGGCAGGUUGAAGGUUGGGUAACACUAACUGGAGGACCGAACCGACUAAUGUUGAAAAAUUAGCGGAUGACUUGUGGCUGGGGGUGAAAGGCCAAUCAAACCGGGAGAUAGCUGGUUCUCCCCGAAAGCUAUUUAGGUAGCGCCUCGUGAAUUCAUCUCCGGGGGUAGAGCACUGUUUCGGCAAGGGGGUCAUCCCGACUUACCAACCCGAUGCAAACUGCGAAUACCGGAGAAUGUUAUCACGGGAGACACACGGCGGGUGCUAACGUCCGUCGUGAAGAGGGAAACAACCCAGACCGCCAGCUAAGGUCCCAAAGUCAUGGUUAAGUGGGAAACGAUGUGGGAAGGCCCAGACAGCCAGGAUGUUGGCUUAGAAGCAGCCAUCAUUUAAAGAAAGCGUAAUAGCUCACUGGUCGAGUCGGCCUGCGCGGAAGAUGUAACGGGGCUAAACCAUGCACCGAAGCUGCGGCAGCGACACUGUGUGUUGUUGGGUAGGGGAGCGUUCUGUAAGCCUGUGAAGGUGUGCUGUGAGGCAUGCUGGAGGUAUCAGAAGUGCGAAUGCUGACAUAAGUAACGAUAAAGCGGGUGAAAAGCCCGCUCGCCGGAAGACCAAGGGUUCCUGUCCAACGUUAAUCGGGGCAGGGUGAGUCGACCCCUAAGGCGAGGCCGAAAGGCGUAGUCGAUGGGAAACAGGUUAAUAUUCCUGUACUUGGUGUUACUGCGAAGGGGGGACGGAGAAGGCUAUGUUGGCCGGGCGACGGUUGUCCCGGUUUAAGCGUGUAGGCUGGUUUUCCAGGCAAAUCCGGAAAAUCAAGGCUGAGGCGUGAUGACGAGGCACUACGGUGCUGAAGCAACAAAUGCCCUGCUUCCAGGAAAAGCCUCUAAGCAUCAGGUAACAUCAAAUCGUACCCCAAACCGACACAGGUGGUCAGGUAGAGAAUACCAAGGCGCUUGAGAGAACUCGGGUGAAGGAACUAGGCAAAAUGGUGCCGUAACUUCGGGAGAAGGCACGCUGAUAUGUAGGUGAAGUCCCUCGCGGAUGGAGCUGAAAUCAGUCGAAGAUACCAGCUGGCUGCAACUGUUUAUUAAAAACACAGCACUGUGCAAACACGAAAGUGGACGUAUACGGUGUGACGCCUGCCCGGUGCCGGAAGGUUAAUUGAUGGGGUCAGCGCAAGCGAAGCUCUUGAUCGAAGCCCCGGUAAACGGCGGCCGUAACUAUAACGGUCCUAAGGUAGCGAAAUUCCUUGUCGGGUAAGUUCCGACCUGCACGAAUGGCGUAAUGAUGGCCAGGCUGUCUCCACCCGAGACUCAGUGAAAUUGAACUCGCUGUGAAGAUGCAGUGUACCCGCGGCAAGACGGAAAGACCCCGUGAACCUUUACUAUAGCUUGACACUGAACAUUGAGCCUUGAUGUGUAGGAUAGGUGGGAGGCUUUGAAGUGUGGACGCCAGUCUGCAUGGAGCCGACCUUGAAAUACCACCCUUUAAUGUUUGAUGUUCUAACGUGGACCCGUGAUCCGGGUUGCGGACAGUGUCUGGUGGG